This 406-nucleotide ribosomal RNA is filed under the name uncultured bacterium. Its description in RNAcentral is "partial 16S ribosomal RNA". It matches the Rfam family "Bacterial small subunit ribosomal RNA", at positions 29 to 526 of the family's 1533-position model. The record is from RNAcentral.
AUUGAACGCUGGCGGCAGGCCUAACACAUGCAAGUCGAGCGAGCGGCGGACGGGUGAGUAAUGUCUGGGAAACUGCCUGAUGGAGGGGGAUAACUACUGGAAACGGUAGCUAAUACCGCAUACCAUCAGAUGUGCCCAGAAGGGGUUAGAUAGUAGGUGGGGUAACGGCUUACCUAGGCGACGAUCCCUAGCUGGUCUGAGAGGAUGACCAGCCACACUGGAACUGAGACACGGUCCAGACUCCUACGGGAGGCAGCAGUGGGGAAUCGUGCACAAUGGACGCAAGCCUGAUGCAGCCAUGCCGCGUGAGUGAAGAAGGUCUGCGGGUUGUAAAGCACUUGCGGCGGUGAGGCGUUAACCACCGAGGAAGUCCCGGCUAACUACGUGCCAGCAGCCGCGGUAAUAC